This 564-nucleotide ribosomal RNA is filed under the name uncultured bacterium. RNAcentral describes it as "partial 16S ribosomal RNA". It matches the Rfam family "Bacterial small subunit ribosomal RNA", at positions 355 to 933 of the family's 1533-position model. The record is from RNAcentral.
UGGGGAAUAUUGCACAAUGGGCGAAAGCCUGAUGCAGCAACGCCGCGCGAGUGAUGAAGGCCUUCGGGUUGUAAAGCUCUGUCUUUUGGGACGAUAAUGACGGUACCAAAGGAGGAAGCCACGGCUAACUACGUGCCAGCAGCCGCGGUAAUACGUAGGUGGCAAGCGUUGUCCGGAUUUACUGGGCGUAAAGGAUGCGUAGGCGGAUUUUUAAGUGAGAUGUGAAAACCCUAAGCUUAACUUGGGGACUGCAUUUCAUACUGGAAAUCUAGAGUGCGGGAGAGGAGAAUGGAAUUCCUAGUGUAGCGGUGAAAUGCGUAGAGAUUAGGAAGAACACCAGUGGCGAAGGCGAUUCUCUGGACCGUAACUGACGCUGAGGCAUGAAAGCGUGGGUAGCAAACAGGAUUAGAUACCCUGGUAGUCCACGCCGUAAACGAUGAGUACUAGGUGUAGGAGGUAUCGACCCCUUCUGUGCCGCAGUUAACACAAUAAGUACUCCGCCUGGGAAGUACGAUCGCAAGAUUAAAAACUUUAAAGGAAUUUGACGGGGGUCAUAGCUGUUUU